This 451-nucleotide ribosomal RNA is filed under the name uncultured bacterium. RNAcentral describes it as "bacterial SSU rRNA". It matches the Rfam family "Bacterial small subunit ribosomal RNA", at positions 340 to 786 of the family's 1533-position model. The record is from RNAcentral.
UACGGAAGCAGCAGGGGGAAUAUUGCACAAUGGGCGCAAGCCUGAUGCAGCCAUGCCGCGUGUAUGAAAAAGGCCUUCGGGUUGUAAAGUACUUUCAGUCGUGAGGAAGGUGUUAAGGUUAAUAACCUUAGCAAUUGACGUUAGCGACAGAAGAAGCACCGGCUAACUCCGUGCCAGCAGCCGCGGUAAUACGGAGGGUGCGAGCGUUAAUCGGAAUUACUGGGCGUAAAGGGCACGCAGGCGGUUAAUUAAGUUGGAUGUGAAAUCCCCGGGCUUAACCUGGGAAUGGCAUUCAAGACUGGUUAGCUAGAGUCUUGUAGAGGGGGUAGAUUCCAUGUGUAGCGGUGAAAUGCGUAGAGAUGUGGAGGAAUACCGGUGGCGAAGGCGGCCCCUGGACAAAGACUGACGCUCAUGUGCGAAAGCGUGGGGAGCAAACAGGGAUUUAGAUACC